UAGCUGCUGAUGAUGAGCUCAGGAGUAAAGGAUCCAUUGAUAGCCGGGCCUCUGCUUCAAGUCUGGCACUUUCCCACUGCACCAUGUGGCGAGUUGAUGGAGUUUCCAAUCCAAAGUCAUCAGAUGUUAAAAUGGACUCUGGCUGGUCGAGGCUUGCUUUAACACGCUUCUUUAGAUGCGAGUUCCAGAAGUUCUUGAUUUCAUUGUCUGUUCUUCCAGCAUGGUAUGCAGCUGCAUGAUAGAAGCUUCUUCCUCGGGACAGAAUGGACCACGUUUAAUACCAGGACGGAGAUAAUUUGUCCACCGAAGUCGGCAGCUCUUGCCACAUCGAAGGAGACCUAAAUAAAAGAUUCAGAAAAAGAUUCACUUUUCAGUUUUGUAGAUACAUUUCAUUGAGAUUUACACCAUCUAUAGACGUGGGUGUCCUGUUCUAGGCCUUUAUUUGGCUAGGUGAAUGUAAAAAGUUACUUUGCAACUUAUGCUGACUAGUGGCUAUUAAAUCUCCAGAAAUGAAGGCCAAGAAAGUAACAAUCCGGUAGUCUAGAAAACAAAUGCAUCAUUUACUGUUUCAACUCUAUUCAUCAAGUACCUCUAAGUGAUGCAAUCGAGAGCUAACUAUUGGUAUUAUGAAGAGGAAGAAAUGUCCUCGAAUUUGAUAAAUUUCCAUAGUAAGGUGUAACAUGAGGAAUAGCGGUGUUACCGUCAGGUUGGAACUGUGCCAUUGUGGAACAUGAAGUUUUUCCUACCAUGUCUUAGAGCCCUUGGUGAUAGAUAAUAUGGCUAUAGCAGCACAAAAUUGAAACAUUUAACAUACUCCAACACACUAAUUUAACUGUUGCCUUCUCUUGGUAAUUAGGUCCUGAAUUUAUGUAAAUAACAUGGUGUCAAUUUUAAUUCGUGAGCAAAAGAAGGGAAAGUCCAUGAGAAGAGUAGCUCAUCUUCGUGUCGCUACUCACUAGCUGAUCCACAAAGACAGGAGACAAAAAAAGGAGAUGGACCUUUCCUCUUCUGACCAACUAGACAUAUUUUUUCAUGUUUUGUCUAAUGAAUCUGGGCUGCAAAAUAAGCUGGAAGGAUCAGUAGCCAACCAAAAAGAAAAUUUCCAAGAUGCAACUUGAUCCAUCAAACAGUCCCAUGCGGGCCAUGCCUUAUGCCAGCUUAGAUGCCACAAACACUCAGACAA
Non-coding RNA from Coffea arabica (coffee), 1183 nucleotides. Lineage: Eukaryota; Viridiplantae; Streptophyta; Magnoliopsida; Gentianales; Rubiaceae. The record is from RefSeq and is a predicted model, not a curated record.